CAGGGUUUGACAUGGACAGGAAGUCUCGUGAAAACGAGGUCCCUUCGGGGUCUGUCCACAGGUGCUGCAUGGCUGUCGUCAGCUCGUACCGUGAGGUGUUGGGUUAAGUCCCACAACGAGCGCAACCCCUGUCGUCGGUUGUAUCUCUCCGACGAGACCGCCACCUAAAGGUGGAGGAAGGUGGGGAUGACGUCAAGUCAGCACGGCCCUUACGUCCUGGGCGACACACACGCUACAAUGGCUGGAUACAAUGGGACGCCAACCCGCGAGGGGGAGCCAAUCCUACCAAAACCAGUCUCAGUUCAGAUUGCAGGCUGCAACCCGCCUGCAUGAAGUUGGAGUUGCUAGUAACCGUGAGUCAGCACAUCACGGUGAAUACGUUCCC
Molecule: ribosomal RNA, 385 nt
Filed under: uncultured bacterium
Lineage: Bacteria
Description: bacterial SSU rRNA
Rfam family: Bacterial small subunit ribosomal RNA
Source: RNAcentral